RNAcentral lists this ribosomal RNA (764 nucleotides) under Rhodococcus sp. (in: high G+C Gram-positive bacteria). Its description in RNAcentral is "bacterial SSU rRNA". It matches the Rfam family "Bacterial small subunit ribosomal RNA", at positions 72 to 847 of the family's 1533-position model. Lineage: Bacteria; Bacillati; Actinomycetota; Actinomycetes; Mycobacteriales; Nocardiaceae. The record is from RNAcentral.
AGCCCAGCUUGCUGGGUGGAUUAGUGGCGAACGGGUGAGUAACACGUGGGUGAUCUGCCCUGCACUUCGGGAUAAGCCUGGGAAACUGGGUCUAAUACCGGAUAGGACCUUCUGCCGCAUGGUGGGGGGUGGAAAGGUUUUCCGGUGCAGGAUGGGCCCGCGGCCUAUCAGCUUGUUGGUGGGGUAACGGCCCACCAAGGCGACGACGGGUAGCCGGCCUGAGAGGGCGACCGGCCACACUGGGACUGAGACACGGCCCAGACUCCUACGGGAGGCAGCAGUGGGGAAUAUUGCACAAUGGGCGCAAGCCUGAUGCAGCGACGCCGCGUGAGGGAUGACGGCCUUCGGGUUGUAAACCUCUUUCAGUACCGACGAAGCGCAAGUGACGGUAGGUACAGAAGAAGCACCGGCCAACUACGUGCCAGCAGCCGCGGUAAUACGUAGGGUGCGAGCGUUGUCCGGAAUUACUGGGCGUAAAGAGCUCGUAGGCGGUUUGUCGCGUCGUCUGUGAAAACCCGCAGCUCAACUGCGGGCUUGCAGGCGAUACGGGCAGACUUGAGUACUGCAGGGGAGACUGGAAUUCCUGGUGUAGCGGUGAAAUGCGCAGAUAUCAGGAGGAACACCGGUGGCGAAGGCGGGUCUCUGGGCAGUAACUGACGCUGAGGAGCGAAAGCGUGGGUAGCGAACAGGAUUAGAUACCCUGGUAGUCCACGCCGUAAACGGUGGGCGCUAGGGUGUGGGUUUCCUUCCACGGGAUCCGUGCC